Molecule: ribosomal RNA, 1744 nt
Filed under: Proteus sp. HMSC14B05
Lineage: Bacteria; Pseudomonadati; Pseudomonadota; Gammaproteobacteria; Enterobacterales; Morganellaceae
Also listed under: 1 other name
Description: bacterial LSU rRNA
Rfam family: Bacterial large subunit ribosomal RNA
Source: RNAcentral
GUUGGGUAGGGGAGCGUUCUGUAAGCCUGCGAAGGUGUACUGUGAGGUAUGCUGGAGGUAUCAGAAGUGCGAAUGCUGACAUAAGUAACGAUAAUGCGGGUGAAAAACCCGCACGCCGGAAGACCAAGGGUUCCUGUCCAACGUUAAUCGGGGCAGGGUGAGUCGACCCCUAAGGCGAGGCUGAAAAGCGUAGUCGAUGGGAAACGGGUUAAUAUUCCCGUACUGGUGGUAACUGCGAUGGGGGAACGGAGAAGGCUAGGUUGUCCGGGCGACGGUCGUCCCGGUUCAAGCAGGUAGGCAGAGUGAUUAGGCAAAUCCGGUCACUUAAUGCUGAGAUGUGAUGACGAACCACCAAGGUGGUGAAGCAAUUGAUGCCCCGCUUCCAGGAAAAGCCUCUAAGCUUCAGGUUACCAACAAUCGUACCCCAAACCGACACAGGUGGUCAGGUAGAGAAUACUCAGGCGCUUGAGAGAACUCGGGUGAAGGAACUAGGCAAAAUGGUGCCGUAACUUCGGGAGAAGGCACGCUGGCGGUAGGUAAAGUCCCUCGCGGACGGCGCUGAAGCCAGUCGAAGAUACCAGCUGGCUGCAACUGUUUAUUAAAAACACAGCACUGUGCAAACACGAAAGUGGACGUAUACGGUGUGACGCCUGCCCGGUGCUGGAAGGUUAAUUGAUGGGGUCAGCCGUAAGGCGAAGCUCCUGAUCGAAGCCCCAGUAAACGGCGGCCGUAACUAUAACGGUCCUAAGGUAGCGAAAUUCCUUGUCGGGUAAGUUCCGACCUGCACGAAUGGCGUAAUGAUGGCCAGGCUGUCUCCACCCGAGACUCAGUGAAAUUGAACUCGCUGUGAAGAUGCAGUGUACCCGCGGCAAGACGGAAAGACCCCGUGAACCUUUACUAUAGCUUGACACUGAACAUUGAGCCUUGAUGUGUAGGAUAGGUGGGAGGCUUUGAAGUGUGGACGCCAGUCUGCAUGGAGCCAACCUUGAAAUACCACCCUUUAACGUUUGAUGUUCUAACCUAGGCCCAUAAACUGGGUCGGGGACCGUGUCUGGUGGGUAGUUUGACUGGGGCGGUCUCCUCCUAAAGAGUAACGGAGGAGCACGAAGGUUGGCUAAGCAUGGUCGGACAUCAUGCGGUUAGUGCAAAGGCAUAAGCCAGCUUGACUGCGAGAGUGACGGCUCGAGCAGGUACGAAAGUAGGUCUUAGUGAUCCGGUGGUUCUGAAUGGAAGGGCCAUCGCUCAACGGAUAAAAGGUACUCCGGGGAUAACAGGCUGAUACCGCCCAAGAGUUCAUAUCGACGGCGGUGUUUGGCACCUCGAUGUCGGCUCAUCACAUCCUGGGGCUGAAGUAGGUCCCAAGGGUAUGGCUGUUCGCCAUUUAAAGUGGUACGCGAGCUGGGUUUAGAACGUCGUGAGACAGUUCGGUCCCUAUCUGCCGUGGGCGUUGGAAGAUUGAGAGGGGUUGCUCCUAGUACGAGAGGACCGGAGUGAACGCACCACUGGUGUUCGGGUUGUCAUGCCAAUGGCAUUGCCCGGUAGCUAAGUGCGGAAGAGAUAACCGCUGAAAGCAUCUAAGCGGGAAACUUGCCUCGAGAUGAGUCUUCCCUGUCGCUUUAAGCGACCUAAAGGAACGUUUAAGACUAAGACGUUGAUAGGCUGGGUGUGUAAGCGUAGCGAUACGUUGAGCUAACCAGUACUAAUGAACCGUGAGGCUUAACCUGACAACACCGAAAGUGUUUUG